RNAcentral lists this ribosomal RNA (497 nucleotides) under uncultured bacterium. Its description in RNAcentral is "partial 16S ribosomal RNA". It matches the Rfam family "Bacterial small subunit ribosomal RNA", at positions 28 to 507 of the family's 1533-position model. The record is from RNAcentral.
GAUGAACGCUGGCGGCGUGCCUAAUACAUGCAAGUCGAGCGAACAGACGAGGAGCUUGCUCCUCUGACGUUAGCGGCGGACGGGUGAGUAACACGUGGAUAACCUACCUAUAAGACUGGGAUAACUUCGGGAAACCGGAGCUAAUACCGGAUAAUAUAUUGAACCGCAUGGUUCAAUAGUGAAAGACGGUUUUGCUGUCACUUAUAGAUGGAUCCGCGCAGCAUUAGCUAGUUGGUAAGGUAACGGCUUACCAAGGCAACGAUGCGUAGCCGACCUGAGAGGGUGAUCGGCCACACUGGAACUGAGACACGGUCCAGACUCCGACGGGAGGCAGCAGUAGGGAAUCUUGCGCAAUGGGCGAAAGCUUGACGGAGCAACGCCGCGUGAGUGAUGAAGGUCUUCGGAUCGUAAAACUCUGUUAUUAGGGAAGAACAAAUGUGUAAGUAACUAUGCACGUCUUGACGGUACCUAAUCAGAAAGCCACGGCUAACUACGUG